This 465-nucleotide ribosomal RNA is filed under the name Vreelandella stevensii. Its description in RNAcentral is "partial 16S ribosomal RNA". It matches the Rfam family "Bacterial small subunit ribosomal RNA", at positions 338 to 795 of the family's 1533-position model. Lineage: Bacteria; Pseudomonadati; Pseudomonadota; Gammaproteobacteria; Oceanospirillales; Halomonadaceae. The record is from RNAcentral.
CCUACGGGUGGCUGCAGUGGGGAAUAUUGGACAAUGGGGGGAACCCUGAUCCAGCCAUGCCGCGUGUGUGAAGAAGGCCCUCGGGUUGUAAAGCACUUUCAGUGAGGAAGAACGCCUGGUGGUUAAUACCCAUCAGGAAAGACAUCACUCACAGAAGAAGCACCGGCUAACUCCGUGCCAGCAGCCGCGGUAAUACGGAGGGUGCGAGCGUUAAUCGGAAUUACUGGGCGUAAAGCGCGCGUAGGUGGCUUGAUAAGCCGGUUGUGAAAGCCCCGGGCUCAACCUGGGAACGGCAUCCGGAACUGUCAAGCUAGAGUGCAGGAGAGGAAGGUAGAAUUCCCGGUGGAGCGGUGAAAUGCGUAGAGAUCGGGAGGAAUACCAGUGGCGAAGGCGGCCUUCUGGACUGACACUGACACUGAGGUGCGAAAGCGUGGGUAGCAAACAGGAUUAGAUACCCGUGUAGUC